This is a non-coding RNA of Odocoileus virginianus texanus, 4128 nucleotides long. The record is from RefSeq and is a predicted model, not a curated record. Lineage: Eukaryota; Metazoa; Chordata; Mammalia; Artiodactyla; Cervidae.
UUCCGCUUAGGUUAUCAUGAUGGGCAUCUCGUGAUCCGCUGGUUCUGGGCUGCAGUGGAGCGUUUCAACAACGAGCAGAGACUCAGAUUACUGCAGUUCGUCACAGGAACAUCAAGUGUGCCCUACGAAGGCUUCGCAGCCCUGCGAGGAAGCAAUGGGCUUCGGCGUUUCUGCAUAGAGAAAUGGGGGAAAAUUACAUCUCUCCCCAGGGCACACACAUGCUUCAAUCGCCUGGAUCUCCCGCCUUAUCCCUCGUACUCCAUGUUGUAUGAGAAGCUGUUAACGGCAGUAGAAGAAACCAGCACCUUUGGACUUGAAUGAGAAACUGGCAACUUCCCUGACAUUUUCCUGGCCAGUGACAUCAUCCUUUCCCUUUCCCCGAAUCAAGUCUCCUUUGAUUUUGGUAUUCUGUGAUUUUCCUUUUCAAACCAAAUCAGGAUUGAUGAGCUGUGCAUGAAGAAUUGCCUUCUUCUAAGAUCUAACCUUCAGGCUUAUCUCCUCUACGUUCAAUGAACUGCUAGCCUGUAUGCAAUAUUUAAAAAAACAGCUGUCUCAAGGUCUGUGUAUAUCUCCACAUACCUCCAUUACUAACAAUGAAAUAUGAAUGCAAGUUAUGCUACACUUGACCAAAUGGUAAUAAAUGUUUACUUCCAUUUCUAUGAUUUAAGGGGAAAUUUGAGCAUUAAGCAUUCCAAGCUUUUCUACACCCAUGUCUUCUGAGCAGAACCACCAUUUUUUUUUUUUAUAAUUUCUAACAACCAACUUCAGAAUAGGAGCUGAUCAACUCUUUCUUUUCUUCCCUUCCCAUUCUACUUUUCCCUGGGCAUCCAAUCCAUCCAAAAACAGCAGUGGCUAAACUGAAAUUUUGAUAUAUUCAACUCAUGAUUUGUAUGUGUCAUCGGCCCCAUCAGCUGGAACUAGCCUAGACAUAUGGUGCAAAUAUCACACUUUCCAACCAAUAAUAACAGCAAGAAAAACACCUCCUGCUGAUGCAAUGCAGGGCAUCCCAAUGGUUGUGGGGAUUAUGGUUCGACUUGAGUUCAGAGAAGUCUGGGGGUGGGGACACACCCCCUGUGAACACCCACCACCCAAGAAGCACAAACUUGUGCACACAUCCAAGAAGGAGAUCGCAUUAUGUAGCAUAAACAACGAGGCUUCUACCCCCAUGAUGUUGUAUAGAAGUGUUGAAGCAAACAGGAGAAAGGGGGAAAGGACAUCAGGACGAUUUAGAAGGACAUAUUCAGUUGCUCUGAAUACCUGGGUUCUGUACAGUUUUAUUUUGCUUUGUUUGAUCACAGGUCUCUUUCCCAAAGGAAAAAAAAAAAUGUCCUGAUAAUCUCAUGACUUCUGUUCAAGCCAAGUAAUUGCUUGUUUGGCAAACAGACUUUUAUUUCAACUUUGAUAGUGUUUUUAUUUUUCAUGUUUACUUUUCAGUUUUUCUUCACCAUGGUGUUCAAAUUCCUUCACAUAUGAUUGUCCACAGGGACCACACUAAAUCAGAAGCUGCAGAGAGCGAUGGUGCUUGUUAGGGAUCAAGGGCAAAAUAAUACAUCUCCUUCCUCCAUAGCAAUCCUCCUGGAGCAGAGACCUAACCCCCCAAAGGCACACCGAUUUGUGUCAAAUAGGGAUCCAGUUUCCUUUAGCAUUCAGUAAAGAGAUGUCUCAGUAAACAUGGUGUUUCAGAGUAACAGUUGCAGGCUCCAGAAACAGCCUGACCUCUUGAUUACGUUUGGAAGAAACCCAAACAUGAUGGUCAUUUGCUAUUUUUCUAAUGUUGUUAUCCAUGUCGUCUGAAAUAUGUUGUAAAAGAAAGUGUUUUUCUUCACUGGGAAAAGAAAUGUUGAAAUGUUACAUUGUUGUCCUUCAAUAUAUAUUUAACAAGGGGAAAAUGUGAGAAACAUGGGCAAGUUAACUUCAUUUGGAGCCAUGUCUUGUGUUCAUGUGGGUUUGUGUCCAGACAAUGCAUCAAUUGUGUUCCCUGCCCUCUUUAAGGAAACAUUCCUUUAGUAGGAAUUAGAAUGCCCAGCACCCCUUGCUGCUGUGUACCUGUGGUCCAUCAAGGAAUAUGUAUGUUGCAGAAAUCUGGCCUUCUGUUGUUGUCUACAAAGAAUAUUUACUGACAUUGGAUGAUGAAAUGUGUAAGUUCCAUAAUGCAGAAUCUAAGGGAUCUGUAUAAUUCAGGACACAUCUCAGCAUCUGAAAAGUCAUGGAUUCCAGUGGAGCUAUUAUUUAUGAAAUCAGGACAUAAGGAUGAUGCAAAUCAUUUCACCAUCCUAUAUAGAAUAGUAUCUUUAGUAAAGGGAGCAUCUUUCAUUUUUAGGACUUGGUGUUAGAUAUAUGUAAAUACUUGUUAAUUCAAGCAUUCAGUUCUUUUUUUUAGGACUCAUAUGUUAGGCUUUGGCAAGAGAGAAAGCUGUUCCAAAAUGGAACCUGUUCCCAGGAAUCUUCACAAUUUACAUAAAUAUCUAAUUAAGCUGUUAAUAGAUUAACUGAUGUCUAUUCUCCCCAGUACAGAAGGAACAAGGUGUCCUAGAAGAUAUAUAUAGAUAGAAAACUUAGACAUGAAUGGUUUUCAACUAAUUUCUCCUUAUUCCUACUGCCCUGCGCAAUGCCAUGGUUCAGAUAUAUCCCAGAAGCAUUACUGGAACAGUAUUUCAUAAGAGUAUGAAAUUCCAGAAAGAAAUACUGGUGUCAGAGUCCCUGAAAGACUGUGAAGUGUGCUUAGUAGGGUCCCAGUUUCCCUUACAGCCUUGCACAGACUCCCUGAGUAAGGAAGACAAAGACGACAGACAGUUGUUAUGGAAAGAUCUUUAUUUCUCUUUGUUCCAGAUUAUGUUUCUUUACUUAGUAUAUGUAUAACAUAAUAUAUAUAUACAUAUGUAAUUACAUGUAUAACAAAACAGCUAUAUGACUCAAUUAUGCUCUUAAUUUUACCAUAUGGAGGUGCAAACCACCUCAAAUCAUAUAAUUCAUAAUGAGCAAGAUAGAGCUCACCCAUUUGUUACCAUGUAUAAUUUAUUUUUAAAGUAUUUAUUUUCUCCAUGGAGGCACAUUAUAAAAUUGAUCACUUUUGAACCACGCUUUCCCUAAAACAAGAUCUUUUAGAGCUAGUUUUAGUAAGAGUAUAUUACCUUUAAUUGGGGGACAAAAAAAAGUAAAUAAGAGAACACUUAUGUGUCAAUUUGAAAAAUGCUUCGAAAAUACUAUGAAGUAUUAUAAUAAUUUUGUGUAUAUUCCAUUUUAUUCUAUUAUAUGCAAAUGAUAAUCUAAAAAUAGAAAUGGACUCUGCAGAGUCAAGAGAAGUACUAUAAAGCUACUGAUUUCUUUGUAAUUCCUGUGUCUAUAAGUUGACCGUGGUUGUGAAAGUUUUUUACUACCAUCACAAUUGUCAUUCAAAGAGAAAAUUAAGACAAAGGGGUAUACAAUUUGUUGGCAGGCUUUAAAUAUACAGAAUCUCGAUCGUUUUCUCUUCUAACACAUGAUCAUAUGUCAUUUAACAGUAAGUGCAUUUGUAUGACCAGCCCACAAGCUGGACCUUCCAGAACAGUUCUGAUGUUAGAUCUGUGGCACCAUCAGUCCAUGUGUCAAAUCACGUGUCCCAAAUUUGGGUUCAGAAAAUUUCUCAGUUGCCACAAAUGUUUUCCCAGUCAAGGUAAAACACUUUCAAAUGAAAGUAGUUAGAACUUUACAUAACAAAUGUGGUGCUUUAUUAUUAUUAUUACUAUUAUGUACUUCAGUGUUCAUUCUUAAAACUACUGCAAUACUAUAUCAUCAAAGUCUGGGAUGGAUGUUCCAACCAUCAUAAGGUCCAAAAGAGAACGUGUUAUUUUCCUGUUAGUGACAUGUAGUCCCUUUGUUCUAGUAGAAAAAAAAAAAAAAGGUGCCUAGAGGUAGUAUUUAGAGUAAAUAUUGUUCCAUUAGCCUACUUCCUGCAGCUUCCAAUUUACCUAAAGAAAUGUCUAUAAUGAUUUUGUUCAAGUCUUUGUUCUAGACAAUAGCAGGAGAAGUCCUUGUUCUUGGGCUGAUUUUGCUUUCAUCGACAAGAGAAAUGUCACGUAAUACUCAGGCCGAGCUUUCUCUUCCAUCCUACCACCUUCAAGGAAUGUCAAUAAACACUUUGGUAUGGCA